CCCGGGUGUCCCCAGUGCCAGGACCCUGAGUGAGGCCCCGGGGCUGUGGUGGUGGCUCAGCCUGGCUGCCCGCUGCGCGAGGCACGCACCCGUCCUGGGUCCUGGGGCGCCCGGCCUGGGGGAGUGGGUGUGCGGGCAGGGACCUGGCGGGCCCCCGGGGGUGGGCGUGUUGGGGGGGCUCACCCGCCUGGCUCUGCUCUGUCAACAAGAGGGUCCUUCCCCAGUCACCUGGGCCCCCCUCCCUGCCCCCACCUCAGGCCCCUUGUGCCAGCAGCUGGCACGCCAGGGACCGUUCCCGGGGCUGCGGCCCCCCAGCCCACAGCCCACACCAGGGACUGUCCCCCGGGGCUGCGCCCCCCCCAACCCACACCAGGGACCGUCCCCGGGGCUGCGGCCCCCCAGCCCACAGCCCAAGCCAGGGACCGUCCCCGGGGCUGCGGCCCCCCAGCCCACAGCCCACACCAGGGACCAUCCCCCAGGGCUGAGGCCCCCUCAACCCACACCAGGGACUGUCCCUGGGGCUGCGGCCCCCCAGCCCACAGCCCACACCAGGGGCUGUCCCCCAGGGCUGAGGCCCCCCCCAACCCACACCAGGGACCGUCCCCGGGGCUGAGGCCCCCCCAACCCACACCAGGGACCGUCCCUGGGGCUGUGGCCCCCCAGCCCACAACCCACACCAGGGACCGUCCCUGGGGCUGUGCACCCCCCCAACCCACACCAGGGACCAUCCCUGGGGCUGUGGCCCCCCAGCCCACAACCCACACCAGGGACCUUCCCUGGGGCUGCGCACCACACCAGGGACCGUCCCCAUGGCUGCGGCCCCCCCAGCCCACGCCGGGGGCCGGCACACCACACGGGGCAGCGUAAGCAUGUAGUCCCAAGAGUGGCUUCCAGGAAGGUUGGCCUGUUGACGGCAGCUCAGAGGGAAGCCUGGUUGUCAGAAGCUCCCACCGCUGUGUUUUGCUGAUCAGGUUGUUCUCUCCGAGCACGUGGCCUCCCGCAGAUCCCAGACAAGCCCAAGGUUGGGAGGUUGGUUUCUAUCACGUUCAGCAGAUAAAACUAACAAAAGAAGGCCCCAUGCCCCCACUGCCCCGCCCAGCAGCCUGCCCGCGGCCUGAGCAUCACGCAGUGAGCUCACCCGUCAGCAGAGAGAGCCUCCGUCUUCAAGGCCUAAACCAUUGAUUUUUAUGGCCUUUCUCGUGACUCUGCUUCUGAAUUAGGCACACGGUAUUGAUGUGGGCACACUUUUUAAUCAUAAUAGCUACUGACAAGGUAAUUAAUUUUAAAACAACUCUUUUUCCUGCUGGUCCGAACGGCGCUAUAUUGAGAUUAAAAGCGCGGGCCUCGCCCGCUCUCCGGCGAUUGCCUCUGCGGACAGCCGCUCCAUCUCGCGCCCACGCUGCGGUUAUUGAUGGGCGUGGGCCAUUACGGCAGAAAGAGCAGGGCCCGGAAAUGUGAUAAAGUUUAGGGUUUUAAUGAUGGAAUUACACGACGGGACAAGGUGAUGAAAUCCGUCACCAGUCGCCACGGCCGUCACGAGAGGAGCCACUGGGCCGGGUUCCAGGAAGGUCACCAGUCGCCACGGCCGUCACGAGAGGAGCCACUGGGCCGGGUUCCAGGAAGGCUGCCCAGCUCAGCCUCUCACCCUGCAAACCCCCAAGCUUCUCAAAGUCUAUUCAGUCCGAUAGUAAAUCUGAAGUCUGUUACUUUGUAUAAAAGGAAAUUACCCCCAAAACAAGCUGAACAGUCGUCCGCUUCCCUGGUUCUAUGUCGGCCAUUUGCCCCGCUUCCUGGUCUCAGGGUCCAAUCUGUCCCCCGGUGACGAGGGCUGUCGGCUGGGCUCCCACUUCACCAGCCCUUCCGUCGUCUGCUUGGCGCCUCGGGCCUCCGGGGAAGCCCCUGUGGGGACCGGAGCCCAGACCCAGGCCGACCCCAUGCAUCCCUCCGACCCCGGCCGUGGCCGCCUCCCGCCCCCGGGAGCAGGAGAGGGCCGUGGCCCCCCAGUGCCGCCAGGCCUCUUCUGGAGCGUGGGGUGGGGGGUUCCCAGGAAGCGUGGUGCCCUGGCCUUUCCCACCUCAGGGAACAGGGCAGGUUCUUUAAAAAUAAGAUUGAGCACAAACGCGCUGGCUGGAGAAUGUGUAGGGUCCGGGUGCCCCUGCGUCUGAGCCGUGUCCGUCACUGUGCUCACGUGUGACGCGCAAGCCGACACCACGGCGGGGCGAUGCCCGAGGGCAGCGGGUUUGCCUGAGUUCAGGGCUGUUCUCGGGGACCCUGCUCCUCGGCUUAAUAAACAGGGUGACAGGCCAUCAGGACAGGCAGUGUAGGCGUGUGACACGUGAGGUGUGUCUGCUUCCUCCCUUCAGAUCAAGCGGAAGCUUUGCCUCAGUUCAGUUUUCCUUAAAAAGUUAAUAAAUACAGAGAGCAAAAGAAAAGUGAGGUGUUUGAGUGGCUUGAGGUCCUGUGUUGGCGGGAGGUGGUCCCAGGCCCCUGUGGGGGUCACCGCCUCCUGCUGGUCCCCUGACCCGGGGCCCCCUGACCCGGGGCACUGAGGGCCGCCCCCACGUCUCCCUUUGGAAGCAGCCCCCCUGGGCAGGGCGGGGGUCAGAGGCCAGGAGCUGACCUGGGGGCCUCCGGGCCUCUCCAUGGGGAGAGGGGUCGCCCAGCAUGAGGCUGGAGGGCACGGGAGCCCCUGUGCCCCCGCCCGCCCCCCACGUCCUGCAGCCAGUGGUCGAGGCAGGGCUGGGAGGGCUGCCGUGAGUGGAGCAGGUUGGCGGCUUUUUGUAGAGCAAGGUGGUGUUUCCCGUGGGCGUCGCUCCCAGCCGCCCGCUGGGCUCUGGAGGCAGGGCUGGGGGGGGGCCUUGCUGCCUCUCCUUUCCUGGGGAGGGGGAGCUGUGCUCGGGGCCCCGGAGGCGGGUGACCCGGGGGCUGCACCCGACGUCCUGAUGGGGACACCACGCAGGUUCUCUGAGGUGCGUUCUUCUGGAAGCGUUUAACAGCUCUGAAGAUUCACUUUUUCAAGAUGACUCAGGUCUCGACAGUCUGUGGGGAGGUUCCAUCCCCCCCGACCCCGCCCGUGGAUGCCCAGUGGGUGGGUGGGGUAAGGGGCAAGGCUGGUCCCAGGCGCAGGGCUCCCCCGGGCCGACCCUAGGGCCUCCCCGAGUUUUCAUCCCUGGGGAGUGUCUCCUCCACAGAAGAUUUAACUUUAACCCCAGAAGCUAUGUUACUGCUCAUCUGCACUGUUAGUAACAAUUUGUUAGAAUAUGUCCUUUCUCUUCGAACUGGUGUGUGUGAGAAUCAAUCCAGUUAAACCAGAAAACAAGACUUUUUGUGGAAUUCAGCAACAUGAUACAACAGUUAAUAUGCAAGAAAAACGUGGAAACAGCUGAGAUUUUUAGAAGAAUUUCAGUGAGAAGCACAUCUGUCAUGAAGUGCUGUUACUUAAAGCAACAGGAACGGGACAAACACGUGUAGGAAAGGAGUUUCUGAAGACCCAGCGACCAGGGACUCUGCAGGCUCCGGCAGGGAGGACUGAGCAUUUCCUGCAGGGUUAGGACUAGUCGCCUCUGGAGAGACCAAUGGACUCAGAACCCAUCCUCCAGAGCAAUUCCAGAUGGAUUAAAGGCCGCCAACUCCGCGCAGAGCGGAGCCAGCCUGGGGGAGAAUGCCCGCGGCCCAGUGGGGGGAGUGGGUGUGUUUCCUACGAGGAACUCGAGGCCCCCGGCAGUGCCGGGAGCACAGGGCUCACGGUGCACUUUCCAGGGAAACUCCUGGAACUCAACGCUGGAGGCAAGGAGCCAGAAAGAAAAGCAGGCAGGAGCAGUGGCAGGGAGAGCGUGGACCCAUGUGUGAGAGGAGCGGCCGCUGGCCUUCCCGGGGACGGGGGGGACGGAUGGACAGGGGGACGGAUGGAUGGAUGGACGGGCGGAGCCCCCCACCAGGUGAUGGGCCCCCACCCAGCGCCAUGAAACGGCGGUGACGCUGCUCCUGGCCACCUCUUCCUUCUCAGCCAACGAGUCCCUGGGAAAGGCCGCCCCAGGGGGCUGCCCUCGCCCUCUACGCUGGGGCCCGCAGGGGUAACCGGGCGGAAGUUUCUGAGUUGAUCAGGGGUGAGCAGUGCUCCCUGGCUCUGCCUGCCCGUGACAUGUGCCUUCUCAGGGUCCACCGUGGGCCGAGUGGGCGCCCCCCACCCUGGGCCCCGGGGCCCCGCUGCCCCGUCUCAGUGGGGGCGUCCAUGCGGCCACGGCUGGGCAGCGAGCCGCCUUUCCCUUCUGCUGGGGUGCACGUCCGUCCUGCGGGCGGUCCUGUCAGCGACAGAUCUCAUCCUGCUUUGAGCCAGAGGUGACCAGUGCAGGCUUCCUUCGCCCCCCAAGGCAGCGUGGCUCCCAUACCAGCCCCGCUGAGGAUCACGGCCUCUGGGGCGCAGGGCUGAGGUCAGGCGUGCUGGGCAGGCUACACCUCAGUGACUCCUUCCCUCCUCUCC
This is a long non-coding RNA of Cervus elaphus (red deer), 4480 nucleotides long. RefSeq lists it as uncharacterized. Lineage: Eukaryota; Metazoa; Chordata; Mammalia; Artiodactyla; Cervidae. The transcript has 3 exons. The record is from RefSeq and is a predicted model, not a curated record.